Long non-coding RNA from Leptopilina heterotoma, 2134 nucleotides. RefSeq lists it as uncharacterized. The transcript is spliced from 5 exons. The record is from RefSeq and is a predicted model, not a curated record. NCBI's taxonomy places the organism in Eukaryota, Metazoa, Arthropoda, Insecta, Hymenoptera, Figitidae.
UUUUUAAGUUCGAAAAUUGUUACAUGUGUAAAUACACGUGUAAUGUGAACUUUGAAUUUUAUAACUUUGAUUUUUUUGGAAAUUUCUUAAAUUGUUACACGUGUAACAAAUUUAGAAACUUUGACAAAAAUACUAAAAUUCAAAUUACAUGUGUAAUUUAAAGGUGGACAAAUGUACACAUGUAUUUUUUAAUAAGGUUCUUAAAACGUUUUAGGUGGCACGUCAUCAGCAUUUCUUUCGAUUUGACUUCCCCGUAGUGUCUCGGCAACGACACUUUUUUUGUGUGCCUGUGUAUUUAAUUCCAUUAUAAUAGGUAUUAUUUUGAACCAGACAUAUAAUAUUAAAUCUGAAUGGGCUGCGUUUAAUUCGUUUAAUUAAUAAUAAUUAUUUUAUAUUUAAUUGAUUUUAAUAAUAGGUAGAAAAUAAAAGAAAUUUCAAUUUUUUUCAGAACCCUCUUUAAACUUGAGAGAUCAUUUCAAGAAAUAGAAUCAAAGAGAUUGGCGCGUAUGCUGACAGAGAAGAUAGAAAAUUUCAAAGAUCAUAUGCCAGUGAUAAUGACACUUGGCAAUCAGGGAAUUAAACAACGGCAUUGAGAUUUCGGAAAUAAUUGAAAUUCCAAUUAAAGUCGAUGCACAUUUGACACCAGGCAGAGUUUUGGACAUGAAUCUUGAUCAGUUGGUGGAGAAGUUUGAAGGCAUUUCGGAGAGUGCAAGCAAGGAGAGUACUCUAGAGAAGAAUAUUCAUAGGAUGCAUAAAGAUUUGUCCGACAUGGUGUUUACCGUGAAUCCCUAUAAAAAUAUUGGAACCUAUGUUGUUGCUGGUGUCGAUGACAUUCAAGUAUUGCUCUAUGAUCACAUCACUAAAGCCAUUACCAUAAAAAUUCGCCUUAUAUUAAACCCUUUGAGACCGAAAUUAUGUUGUGGGAGAAGAAAUUACUCUUCUUCCCGAGAUUCUUCUUUCUCUCCAAUGAUGAACUAUUGGAAAUUUUCUCCGAAACUAAAGAUCCAACUAGUGUACAGCCGCAUUUGAAAAAAUGCUUCGAGGGAAUAGCGAAAUUGACGUUUGAUGAUGAUUUGAUAGUUCAUGCGAUGAUGUCGUGAGAUUGUUGAAUUUGUUGAUUUAAUAUUAACAGCGGCUGUUCGUGGUCAAGUUCAAAAAUGGCUGGUGGGAUUGGAAGUCGACAUGAGAAAAAGUGUCAGGCACAAAGUUCAGGAAGCAAUUGAAGCUUAUCCAAAGAAAGAGAGGACAAUUUGGAUUCUUGAGUGGCCGGGACAAACGGUUCUUUGCGUCAGUCAAUUAUACUGGACUCAGCAAAUUGAGGUGUCGAUUGCUGAUAAAAAUCCUCUGCAAGCAUUUCAAAAUUAUUUUGAUCAAUGUCAAAAGGAAUUAAAUGACAUUUUAAUAAUUCGUGGAAAAUUAUCGAAGCAGAAUCGCAUUACUUUAGGUGCAACAAAUUUAUGAGAUGAUGAUUGUUAGACAUGUCAACUCUAUGGGAAUUUUGAUCCUGCGUCUCACGAAUAGAGCGAUGGCAUUUUUGCCGUGAGUUACCGAUCGUUUGCAAAUUCGAUAAAUGAUAAUAGAAAAUGGUUGGUAUUCGAUGGACCGGUUGACGCUGUUUGGAUUGAGAAUAUAAAUACCGUUUUGGACGAUAACAAAAAGCUUUGUCUUAUGUCGGACGAAAUUAUUCAACUCUCGCCUACUACGAAUUUAAUUUUCGAACCAAUGGAUCUCGAGGUUGCAUCACCGGCGACAGUCUCUCGUUGCGGCAUGAUUUACAUGGAGCCGGUUUCUCUAGGCUGGACACCACUUUUAGUUUUUUGGAUGAACAACACAUUUUCAGAAAUGUUGAGCGAUCAUGUUAGAUUUCACGUUAAGUAUAUGUUCUGUAGAUUUUGUCCGGCUCUUUUGAGUCUGAUCCGACGAUCCGGUGUUAAGGUUGUUUUAAAUUAAGUCUGAAAUUAUACCGGAAAUUUACUUUUUAAGUCCUUUAUUAUUUCGAUUAAAAUUGUUGCGAAAUAAUUUUUAAAAAGUUUACUACUUUCAGUAAUAAUUUCACAAGCUAAUUGUCAUUUUCACACAAGAAAAUCUGUUAUGUUAUAAAAAUUAAAGAGUUUAAUUAAAUUUUACUUUUAUU